This 506-nucleotide ribosomal RNA is filed under the name uncultured Desulfobulbus sp. RNAcentral describes it as "bacterial SSU rRNA". It matches the Rfam family "Bacterial small subunit ribosomal RNA", at positions 903 to 1382 of the family's 1533-position model. The record is from RNAcentral. Lineage: Bacteria; Pseudomonadati; Thermodesulfobacteriota; Desulfobulbia; Desulfobulbales; Desulfobulbaceae.
GCCACGCCCGCUCAGAAACUUAAAGGAAUUGACGGGGGCCCGCACAAGCGGUGGAGUAUGUGGUUUAAUUCGAUGCAACGCGAAGAACCUUACCUGGUCUUGACAUCCCGGAGACCCUUAGGAAACUAGGGGGUGCUUCCAUCUGGAAGAAUCUGGAGACAGGUGCUGCAUGGCUGUCGUCAGCUCGUGUCGUGAGAUGUUGGGUUAAGUCCCGCAACGAGCGCAACCCUUGCCUUUAGUUGCCAGCAGUUCGGCUGGGCACUCUAAAGGGACUGCCGGUGUUAAACCGGAGGAAGGUGGGGAUGACGUCAAGUCCUCAUGGCCUUUAUGACCAGGGCUACACACGUACUACAAUGGCCGAUACAAAGGGCAGCGACACUGCGAGGUGAAGCCAAUCCCGUAAAAUCGGUCUCAGUCCGGAUUGGAGUCUGCAACUCGACUCCAUGAAGUUGGAAUCGCUAGUAAUCGUGGAUCAGCAUGCCACGGUGAAUACGUUCCCGGGCCUU